GCGAUUCGGCAUGGUCUGAUUUUAUUGAGCUGUUUACUGUUGAUUUUAUGUUAUGUUUAUAUUUUAGUAAAAUAUUAUUUUGUUGUUGUAUUUUAUUGAUUUAAUUUUUUGGUUAUAGUUUAUUUGUACUGUAGGGGUAUGCAUUGAUUUAUUUUUGGAAGUUUACUUGCUUUGUUGUACCUUGUGUAUCAGGGUUUACUGAAUUUUAUUAUUUAUUUUUAUUUCCCGAUUCUGAAAGGAGCUAUUAACUUAUUUUAGUUGUUGUUUUAUUAACAUUAAUAAUGGGUUAAUAGUGAUGAAAUGUUAUUCGUCUUUAGGGGUUUCUGGUUUUUCAGGAAAUGAAUUUAAUUCAUGCGUCUUAUUUAGAGUUUUAUCAUUUUUUAUUUAUUUUUAUUUGUCGUUAAGAUUGGGAGGGAUUAGCUUCUUAUUUUAUUUUUAUAAUAUUUUGUUUAUUUAGUCUUGUGGGUUUUAUAGUGAUUUUCAAUUUGAUUAUGUUAAAAUUUUAUUUGUUUUUUUCUUUAUUUCUAAUUAUUUAAUUAUUUAUUGAAAUGUAUUCUUUAUCUUUAAUUUUGGUUAGUAAUUAUUGUAGAAUUAGUAAAUUUGUUUUUAGGCUGUUUUAUUUGUGUUAAUUUUCUUUGAGGAACUAGGCAAAUUUCAUGCUCGCCUGUUUAACAAAAACAUCUUUUCUCGUUAGUUUUUGAAGUAUGGCCUGCCCACUGACUGGUGUUGAAGGGCCGCGGUAUUUUGACCGUGCAAAGGUAGCAUAAUCAUUAGUUCUUUAAUUGUGAUCUGGUAUGAAUGGCUUGACGAGGCAUGGGCUGUCUUAAUUUUGAAUUGUUUGUUGAAUUUGUUCUUUGAGUUAAAAUUCUUAGAUGUUUUUAUGGGACGAGAAGACCCUAUAGAGUUUAACAUUUAUUAUGGUCCUUUUUCUGUUUGUGAGGGUUCACUGGGCCGUUUAAUAUGUUUUGUUGGGGUGAUGGGAGGGAUUUAUUUAACCCCUCCUUUGUGUUGUUAUAUUUAUUUAUAUUUACUUGAUCCAUUUAUUUUGAUUGUAAGAUUAAAUUACCUUAGGGAUAACAGCGUUAUCCCCCUUGAGAGUUCUUAUCGGCAGGGGGGUUUGCGACCUCGAUGUUGGAUUAAGGUUUAUUUUCGGUGUAGUGGCUGAAAUUAUUAGGUCUGUUCGACCUUUAAAAUCUUACAUGAUCUGAGUUCAAACCGGCGUGAGCCAGGUUGGUUUCUAUCUAUAAUGGAGUUAUAUAUCUUAGUACGAGAGGACCAGAUAUUUGGAAUAAUUUUAUGUUGGUUGAAUAUUAUUAACUGGCUAUUUUGGCAGACAAGUGCGUUAGAUUUAGAAUCUGUUAAUGUAAAUUU
This 1371-nucleotide ribosomal RNA is filed under the name Reticulitermes grassei. RNAcentral describes it as "16S ribosomal RNA". The stretch from base 879 to 1247 matches the Rfam family "Bacterial large subunit ribosomal RNA", at positions 2073 to 2647 of the family's 2925-position model. Lineage: Eukaryota; Metazoa; Arthropoda; Insecta; Blattodea; Rhinotermitidae. The record is from RNAcentral.